Physeter macrocephalus (sperm whale) is the source of this 2255-nucleotide long non-coding RNA. RefSeq lists it as uncharacterized. The transcript has 3 exons. The record is from RefSeq and is a predicted model, not a curated record. Lineage: Eukaryota; Metazoa; Chordata; Mammalia; Artiodactyla; Physeteridae.
GACGAGUCGGUGCUCGACUGGCGCGAGUGCGAGCCGGAGUCAGGCUCCUUGAAGAACGACUCGGGCAGGAUCUUCUUCCGCCACGAGCUGGGCUUGGGGUUCAUCACCGAGUUGAAGAGGGCUUCGAGGAUGACUCAGGUCACUAGGGGUUGAGAAGAAACCUGGUCAAAGCUUGGGCGGUGGAAAGGGACAGCGAUCGUGCCCCCCUCUCCCGGGACAUCCGCGCGGGUAGUAGGAGGAUUGGAAUGUCCCUGACGCCCUCCAGAGAGCCUGGAUGUUGGGAUGGAAGCGGAACAGGUGGCUGGGAGCAGAGAGGGUGCGCCAGUGACCCGGAAAAAACCACCCACCCUCCCACCGACUGGAUCUAGGCGAGGGGUGGAGACCCCCUGCUAGAUCUAGACUGGCAAGACAGCUGCGGGAAGUAGGAGGCGGCCUGGUCCUCCGGAGCAGCUCAGUUCCUUCUUUCCCUUGUCCCUUCUCCAUUGAGGGGAAGGGGAGAGUAGCUGUGAGAUGGGAAAAUCAAGACUGCCUGAGAGAGAAAGACAGUCAUGUGGAUCACUGUCAAAGGUGAGCAGAGCAUACAGCUCCUUCAGGAGCCUCUGGAACUGUUUCCCAUCAGCAAGUCUUCUGCCCAUAGGACAGCAGGGGGAAAGGGAAGCUGCCACAGGUCACUCCAUGGGAAAUAGCAUCUUUACAAGCUAUCGUCAGAAGCCACCACCGUUGCAACAAUGGGCAAAUCAGCUCUGGAACUAGAGGAAGUGACUGGGACUGAAAGGUUACUAAUUCAGAAGCCACUUGACGAACAGAUGCAACCUUGAGGCCAGCCCAACUCCAGGAAGGUCCUCACCCAGGAAGGAAGGUCUUGCUUUGUAAAGAGUUCCUGGCUGCUGCACAGAGGAAGAUGCUGAGGGAUCCAUGAGAUUAAUCAUUUAGGGAGAAUCAGGAUUGAGGCUGGGUGGGCAAGGAUGCCGUCAUUCCUUGCCAAGACAUAGAUAGUGGAGGACAAAGUAGAUGCCUGAAAUGGAGACUGCUCUGAUCACGUGAUAGCUCAAAGGGAAAACUCCCAGUUCUCAAACAGUCUAUAAGAUAUGAUAGUGGAUGGCCAAAGGGAUUUGCUUCACUGCUUCAAACAAUAGUUUCAGAUUAAAGAACAUUUACAGGUGCCUUGUGUAUAUCAGGUACUGCCGUAAGAGGCAGUAUGGUGUGACAGGUAAGUGUAUAAUGAAUCUCUGGAGGAAAAUACCUGAGGCAAGAUACUGAAACUCUCUAUUCCUGAGUUUUCUCCUUUGUAAAUUAGAAACAAUAACAGUACCCACCUCACAGGAUUUUAGAUGAAAACAAAUUACAGUCGGCCCUUUGUAUCCUUGGGUUCCACAUCCACUGUGGAUUUAAAGAAAAAAAAAAAUUCCAGAAAGUUCCAAAAAGCAAAACUUGCAUUUGUGGCACACUGACAACUAUUUACGUAGCAUUUAAUUGUAUUAGUUAUUAUAAGAAAUGUGGAGCUGAUUUAAAGUACAUGGGAGGAUGUGUGUAGGUUAUAUUUAAAUACUACGCCAUUUUAUAUAAGGGAUUUGAACAUCCUCAGAUUUUGGUUGGUUGGGGGGGCGGUGUGUCCUAGAACCAACCCCCUGCUGAUACUGAGGAACGACUAUAUACAAAUUUUAUCUGUUCCCACUGAUUUAGAACACAAGCUUUGAAAUGCCUAGCUCAACUCUCUACAUUGGGCAAGUAAUUUAACCUCCCUUAAAUCACAGAUUAUUCAUUUACAAAUUGGAAAUAGUAGUGUGGUAGUCUGUGACACUGCUGGCCUUCAAUGGACCACCCUUCUUUUGGUCACACCCUUAUGGAGUCCCUCCCACUUAAAUCUGCACUGGGCCAGUGACUUGCCUUCACCUGGAAAACGCAGCCCUGCAUCUGUGCUUGUUCCCUCUUUUAACCCCAAGGGAGGUGUGGAAGUUUCUGCUUCUGUACUUUUGGGAGAUCUGAGCCACUAGGGAAGAACUACAACUACUUUGCUGGGGAAACCACGUGCAGAGGAAGAGGCCCUGAGAUAGGUGGAGACAGGGAGAACUCCAGCCAUCUAGCACCGGAGCUGAGCCCAGCCCCCAGCAGGCCCAACAGCUGACUGCAAGGGCAUCAGUGACCAGCAUCAAGACCAGUAGAACCAGAGCCCAGCCCAGCCCAGCCCACAUUGUAGAACAAAUAAAAUGAAUAUUGUUUUAAGCUACUAAAUUUUGGAAUUUUUUUAAUGCAGA